RNAcentral lists this ribosomal RNA (330 nucleotides) under uncultured bacterium. RNAcentral's name for it is "bacterial SSU rRNA". It matches the Rfam family "Bacterial small subunit ribosomal RNA", at positions 568 to 898 of the family's 1533-position model. The record is from RNAcentral.
UCCGUAGGCGGUGCGGCAAGUCGGAAGUGAAAUCUCCGGGCUUAACCCAGAGGCUGCUUCCGAAACUGCCGUGCUAGAGUGCGAGAGAGGCGAGUGGAAUUGCGGGUGUAGCGGUGAAAUGCGUAGAUAUCCGCAGGAACAUCCGAGGCGAAGGCGGCUCGCUGGAUCGCAACUGACGCUGAGGGACGAAAGCUAGGGGAGCAAACAGGAUUAGAUACCCUGGUAGUCCUAGCCCUAAACCAUCAGGACUUGGGGUUUGCCCUGUACGGGGCAAGUCCCGUAGCUAACGCGUUAAGUCCUGCGCCUGGGGAGUACGGUCGCAAGGCUGAA